AGGCGAAGGCAGUCCACGCUGAGGAGGGGCGAGGUGAACAUCGUCUGGUUCUUCGAUUGCAGGCGCGGUGGUGUUCGUUGUGGCCUCGUCUGGUGACUGCGCUGUCCGCUGUGUUCAGCUGUCCACGGCGCCCGGCGUGACGUUGCUGCUUCCUGCCGUCGCCCUUCCUCCCUCGCAAACCACCGACGCACCAUCGACGGAUCCACGGCGGCCGGAAGUGUUGUUGUUGCACGGUUUUUGUCAGACUUAAGGGCUAGCAAGACGCUGGUUAUUAAGCAGUUUUGUGUAAGAGUUCGUUGGACUCCUCACUUUUGAUAUUUUUAGUUUUUUUUUUUUUUUUUUUGCUUUUUCAAGUGCUGGCUGAUGCAGGAGUUGUCUCCGGACGCUCAAUGAGGUAUUUUUAUAUAAAAAAUAAAGCUAAUUUU
This is a long non-coding RNA of Eriocheir sinensis (Chinese mitten crab), 425 nucleotides long. RefSeq lists it as uncharacterized. The transcript has 3 exons. Lineage: Eukaryota; Metazoa; Arthropoda; Malacostraca; Decapoda; Varunidae. The record is from RefSeq and is a predicted model, not a curated record.